This 259-nucleotide ribosomal RNA is filed under the name uncultured bacterium. RNAcentral's name for it is "partial small subunit ribosomal RNA". It matches the Rfam family "Bacterial small subunit ribosomal RNA", at positions 26 to 285 of the family's 1533-position model. The record is from RNAcentral.
AGGAUGAACGCUGGCGGCGUGCUUAACACAUGCAAGUCGAACGAUGAAGCGGAGCUUGCUCUGUGGAUUAGUGGCGAACGGGUGAGUAACACGUGAGUAACCUGCCCUUGACUCUGGGAUAAGCACUGGAAACGGUGUCUAAUACCGGAUACGAGCUUCAGCCGCAUGGCUAGGAGUUGGAAAGAAUUUCGGUCAAGGAUGGACUCGCGGCCUAUCAGGUAGUUGGUGAGGUAAUGGCCCACCAAGCCUACGACGGGUA